GAUGAACGCUGGCGGCGUGCCUAAUACAUGCAAGUCGAGCGAACAGACGAGGAGCUUGCUCCUCUGACGUUAGCGGCGGACGGGUGAGUAACACGUGGAUAACCUACCUAUAAGACUGGGAUAACUUCGGGAAACCGGAGCUAAUACCGGAUAAUAUAUUGAACCGCAUGGUUCAAUAGUGAAAGACGGUUUUGCUGUCACUUAUAGAUGGAUCCGCGCCGCAUUAGCUAGUUGGUAAGGUAACGGCUUACCAAGGCAACGAUGCGUAGCCGACCUGAGAGGGUGAUCGGCCACACUGGAACUGGGCCACGGUCCAGACUCCUACGGGAGGCAGCAGUAGGGAAUCUUCCGCAAUGGGCGAAAGCCUUACGGAGCAACGCCGCGUGAGUGAUGAAGGUCUUCGGAUCGUAAAACUCUGUUAUUAGGGAAGAACAAAUGUGUAAGUAACUAUGCACGUCUUGACGGUACCUAAUCAGAAAGCCACGGCUAACUACGUG
RNAcentral lists this ribosomal RNA (497 nucleotides) under uncultured bacterium. RNAcentral's name for it is "partial 16S ribosomal RNA". It matches the Rfam family "Bacterial small subunit ribosomal RNA", at positions 28 to 507 of the family's 1533-position model. The record is from RNAcentral.